Molecule: ribosomal RNA, 466 nt
Filed under: Vreelandella stevensii
Lineage: Bacteria; Pseudomonadati; Pseudomonadota; Gammaproteobacteria; Oceanospirillales; Halomonadaceae
Description: partial 16S ribosomal RNA
Rfam family: Bacterial small subunit ribosomal RNA
Source: RNAcentral
CCUACGGGUGGGCAGCAGUGGGGAAUAUUGGACAAUGGGCGAAAGCCUGAUCCAGCCAUGCCGCGUGUGUGAAGAAGGCCUUCGGGUUGUAAAGCACUUUCAGUGGGGAAGAAAGCCUUGGGGCUAAUACCCUCGAGGAAGGACAUCACCCACAGAAGAAGCACCGGCUAACUCCGUGCCAGCAGCCGCGGUAAUACGGAGGGUGCGAGCGUUAAUCGGAAUUACUGGGCGUAAAGCGCGCGUAGGCGGCCUGAUAAGCCGGUUGUGAAAGCCCCGGGCUCAACCUGGGAACGGCAUCCGGAACUGUCAGGCUAGAGUGCAGGAGAGGAAGGUAGAAUUCCCGGUGUAGCGGUGAAAUGCGUAGAGAUCGGGAGGAAUACCAGUGGCGAAGGCGGCCUUCUGGACUGACACUGACGCUGAGGUGCGAAAGCGUGGGUAGCAAACAGGAUUAGAUACCCCGGUAGUC